AUGUGCAUUCCAACGCAGAAAGGAGGUAUGGGGUUCAGGGACCUUCACAGUUUUAACCUUGCUUUGUUAGCAAAACAGUGUUGGCGUCUGCUCCAGAACCCGGACUCUUUGUGUGCAUGUGUUCUCAGCGCCGAAUACUAUCCAAAUGGUGACAUUUUGAGUGCAGGUCAAAAGAAAGGAUCAUCAUAUACUUGGCAGAGCAUUGUCUAUGGCAUAGAAACCUUUAAAAGGGGUUGCAUAUGGCUAGUUGGUACGUGUGAAAAAAUUGAUACUUGGCAAGACCCGAGGAUCCCAACAAGUGAAAACAGGAAUGUUAUUACACCCAAGGGAGCUACGUUACUAGACAAAGUGGAGGACCUCAUUGACCCACACACUGGCCAGUGGGAUGUCCCUCUUAUUACCUCCAUCAUCUCUCCGGUUGAUGUCCACAUAAUUCUUAAUAUACCACUGCGAGUAGAGAUGUUGGAUGAUUUUGUGGCAUGGAAUGCAACCAGAUCAGGGACAUUCUCUGUAAAAUCAGCUUAUCAUGUCGAGUUUGAACACCAUUGUGGGAAACACUGGAAGAGGCAGGAUGGCCAAGGAAGCAUACACAUUAACCCUAUAUGGAAAUCAGCUUGGCAUCUAUCUGUACCUGGGAAGGUUAAACAUUUUGUUUGGAAAGUCUUGAAAGGGGUUCUCCCCUGUUUUGGUGUUCUAGCAUCACGGCACAUCCCACUGAGUGCUCAAUGCCCCAUUUGCAAAAUAGGGAUGGAAGAUAUUCAAUAUUGUUUAUUUACCUGCACCUGAGUACAGGAAAUCUGGUCUAAACUAGGGUUGACAGAGGAAAUCAACGGAGCAGUGACCCAAGAUCGUUCAGGUUCUGUGACUAUGGAAAUACUAUGUAGAACCAGUGACUCAGUGGGUGACUUGGCAAAGGUGGAGCUAAUUGUGGUUACGGCAUGGUGCAUUUGGUGGCAACGGCGGCGGAUCGUGAGACAAGAAUCAGUUCAAACACCAGACCGGUCCGCUCUCUCCAUCAAAGUUUUGUGCACAAAUUUUGUUAGAUCAUCUAUGCCAAAUUAUCCCACUAGGAAGCGAGAUCACAUGUGGAAGAAACCGAUACGUGGAUCUGGAUCGGUGAAUGUUAAUGUUGAUGCCUUGUUUUGCGCUCAGACAAUGGCUGGAGCUAGACAACAAGGGUGA
This 1182-nucleotide ribosomal RNA is filed under the name Triticum aestivum (bread wheat). RNAcentral describes it as "partial small subunit ribosomal RNA". The record is from RNAcentral. Lineage: Eukaryota; Viridiplantae; Streptophyta; Magnoliopsida; Poales; Poaceae.